CAGGUUCCUCCUGGUCCCCGAGGCCCCCGGUCGGGCGUUGCCUGCCCCGCGCGGGCGGCCGGGCCGAGGGACGAUGGUCAGUGGACGGACGGCGCCAGGGAGCAGUGCCCACGCGCGGCAGGGCGGUACCUUCAGGCCUCCAGGUGUCAUCGAACACCCUUGUGCUUGCUGUCACCCGCUGCCUGUCUGCAGGAUCCCGGAUUCCGUAUCAGGGGACCGAAAUUAGUCGGAAAAUAGGAAGCAGGUGCUCGCUUGGAUGGAACCCUGACCCUGUGCUCACACUUGUAGGAGGAGGGCUCUGCAGGCCGCCUCCCGGAACGGGAGGUUCCCAAGCCACUGCACUUCGGAGGGGCUGUAAUUAGAGUUGCACAUUCAUUCAGUUCCCAGUAAAGUAGAACGUGCUCCAGCCAGUGAGGAAAAGGUGUUUUUAAAAAUUAGAUUGGCCGAGUGCGGUGGCUCAUGCCUUUUACCUCAACACUUUGGGAGACAAAGGUGGGAGGAUCACCUGUGGCCAGGAGUUCAAGACCAGCCUGGGCAACAGAGCCUGUCUCUGGGGAAGAAUAAAAAAAAAAAUUGAGCCUU
Molecule: long non-coding RNA, 582 nt
Filed under: Homo sapiens (human)
Lineage: Eukaryota; Metazoa; Chordata; Mammalia; Primates; Hominidae
Description: non-protein coding MHENCR:24
Source: RNAcentral